Molecule: ribosomal RNA, 519 nt
Filed under: uncultured bacterium
Lineage: Bacteria
Description: partial 16S ribosomal RNA
Rfam family: Bacterial small subunit ribosomal RNA
Source: RNAcentral
ACUCAAAUGAAUAGACGGGGGCUCACACAAGCGGUGGAGCAUGUGGCUUAAUUCGAGGCUACGCGAAGAACCUUAUCCUGGGCUUGACAUGUGCGAAAGCGUUGGGAAGUAGCGGUCGGAAACGUCCCGCCAACGGUAUCCAGUCCGGAACCCAAUACAGGUGCUGCAUGGCUGUCGUCAGCUCGUGUCGUGAGAUGUCGGGUUAAGUCCCAUAACGAGCGAAACCCCUGCUUCUAGUUGCCAUCAUUCAGUUGGGCACUCUAGAAGGACUGCCGGUGUCAAACCGGAGGAAGGUGGGGAUGACGUCAAGUCCUCAUGGCCUUUAUGCCCAGGGCUGCACACGUGCUACAAUGGCGUGAACAAAGGGACGCAAGCUCGCGAGAGUAAGCAAAUCCCAAAAAGCACGCCCCAGUUCAGAUCGAAGGCUGCAACUCGCCUUCGUGAAGUUGGAAUCGCUAGUAAUCGCGGGUCAGCAACACCGCGGUGAAUGUGUUCCUGAGCCUUGCACACACCGCCCGU